AUUUACCCAAUAUUUUCUUUAAAUAGAUCCAUCAUUUUUAAGUUAAAGUUACUUUAUAAAAAAAGCUUUAUAUUACUUCAAUGAAAACAGUAAAGCAAAAGAAACAGAAGAUAUUUAUGAAAGCAAAUAUGCUUCAGAUUAAUUUGUUAUUAAAUUCUAGGGCCUGGCCUGGUGGCAUGGUGGUUAAGUUCACGUGCUCUGCUUUGGUGGCCUGGGCUUCGCUGGUUUGGGCGUGGACCUACACACUGCUCAUCAAACCAUGCUGUGGCAGGCGUCCCACAUGCAAAAUAGAGGAAGAUGGGCAGGGAUGUUAGCUCAGGAACAAUCUCCCUCAACCAAAAGGAAGAAGAUUGGCAAUAGAUGUCAGCUCAGGGCCAAUCUUCCUCACCUCCCCCCAAAAAAAUUUCUAGCUGAAUACUAUUCCCUGCCAGUCUGAAACCUGCCCUCUUAGGAAAUAAAGAAGAUUUUCGCUUGUUGGAAGGAAGAUAAAGACAUUCUUGGCACCAAAAUUGAAACUUUAAUCUUAUUUUAAUCAGAAGGAUUAAGUGAGAAUUGGAAAAAGGAAGGCAUAAUUUUCUCAUUACAUGUGAUUCAUGCCAUUGAAUGACAUCUCUGAGUACCCCCUACAAUGACCUUGAGUAUCACCCCUAAUCUUGUAUAUACCUGCAGUGAUACACAUUGCACACUUUCAGAAACACGGGAUAAACAACAAUGAUGACAACGGAAGCUAAUGCUGGCUGAGGUGUAUUUAGAGCUUCCUCUUGGCCAAGCAUGCUUCAAAGAGCUCUCUGCAGGUACGAACUUGCUCGGUUCUCACAAGAACCUCAGAAAUAGGUUCUCCUCUUUUUCCCAUUGUACAGAUGUGACAGCUAAGGCAGAGAGAGGCUCGUAACUUGCUCAAGGUCCAUUUGACUAAUAAAAGGCAAAGCUGGCAAUGGGGCAGUGAUGGAAGUUUAGAAAAGCAGGCUUGGCCACCAAUUGUGCUUCUAGAAAACCUGAGAUCAAAUGUCACAAAACCCUCCUGGGAGAGGAGGUCUCCCUAUACCUGGAGGGAAGGAGCAUCCUUAUCCUGGAAGACAAAGGGAUGCCGAGAAGAAUCCUAACAAACAGGCCUUGCUGUUGCCCAUGGUUUACUGCACUUACCCCAUACUCCUUGAUCUACCAUAUUCCUCCACGACUGUCCACUCUUCAUCAAACCUAGCAUAAAAAUAGUCAGAUUUAGCUGCUUCUUCUUGUCUUUCUUUCCUUAUGAGGGUUCCUGUGUCAUGUAAAACUUAAAUUAAAUAAAUUUGUAUGUUUUUAUCCUG
Molecule: long non-coding RNA, 1307 nt
Filed under: Equus caballus (horse)
Lineage: Eukaryota; Metazoa; Chordata; Mammalia; Perissodactyla; Equidae
Description: lncRNA (ENSECAG00000048544.1)
Source: RNAcentral